UACAGAGGUGGCAAGCGUUGUUCGGAAUUACUGAGCGUAAAGGGCGCGUAGGCGGUUCGUUAAGUCCUGUGUGAAAGCCCCCGGCUCAACUGGGGAGGGUCACUCGAUACUGAUCGACUUGAAGGCAGGAGAGGGAAGCGGAAUUCCCGGUGUAGUGGUGAAAUGCGUAGAUAUCGGGAGGAACACCAGUGGCGAAGGCGGCUUCCUGGCCUGUUCUUGACGCUGAGGCGCAAAAGCUAGGGGAGCAAACGGG
RNAcentral lists this ribosomal RNA (253 nucleotides) under uncultured bacterium. Its description in RNAcentral is "partial 16S ribosomal RNA". It matches the Rfam family "Bacterial small subunit ribosomal RNA", at positions 524 to 776 of the family's 1533-position model. The record is from RNAcentral.